ACGGGGCCCGCACAAGCGGAGGAGCAUGUGGUUAAUUCGAUGAUACGCGAGGAACCUUACCUGGGCUUGACAUCUGCGGAAUUUCUAUGAAAGUAGGAAGUGCCCUUCGGGGAGCCGCAAGACAGGUGCUGCAUGGCUGUCGUCAGCUCGUGUCGUGAGAUGUUGGGUUAAGUCCCGCAACGAGCGCAACCCUUAUCUUUAGUUACCAUCAUUCAGUUGGGGACUCUAAAGAUACUGCCCCGGUCAACGGGGAGGAAGGUGGGGAUGACGUCAAGUCCUCAUGGCCCUUAUGUCCAGGGCUACACACGUGCUACAAUGGGCAGUACAAAGGGUAGCAAGCCUGCGAAGGUGAGCCAAUCUCAAAAAGCUGUUCGUAGUUCGGAUUGGAGUCUGCAACUCGACUCCAUGAAGCUGGAAUCGCUAGUAAUCGCGGAUCAGCAUGCCGCGGUGAAUACGCUCCCGGGCCUU
Molecule: ribosomal RNA, 468 nt
Filed under: uncultured Desulfobacterium sp.
Lineage: Bacteria; Pseudomonadati; Thermodesulfobacteriota; Desulfobacteria; Desulfobacterales; Desulfobacteriaceae
Description: bacterial SSU rRNA
Rfam family: Bacterial small subunit ribosomal RNA
Source: RNAcentral